GGGCUGUUAGCUCAGCUGGUAGAGCAGCGGACUCUUAAUCCGUAGGUCGGCGGUUCGAACCCGCCACAGCCCACCA
This 76-nucleotide transfer RNA is filed under the name Deefgea sp. RNAcentral's name for it is "tRNA-Lys". It matches the Rfam family "tRNA". From Rfam's summary of the family: Transfer RNA (tRNA) molecules are approximately 80 nucleotides in length. Their secondary structure includes four short double-helical elements and three loops (D, anti-codon, and T loops). Lineage: Bacteria; Pseudomonadati; Pseudomonadota; Betaproteobacteria; Neisseriales; Chitinibacteraceae. The record is from RNAcentral. RNAcentral also lists the same sequence under 1 other name.